GGAGGAAUCCAGUGCCACUGCUUUGCUUCAUACGCACUUCCAUGUCAGAUGCCAUUUGGUCAGACUGCCCCUCUGCUGCCUUCUGUCACAGGGCAGCAAAAUGUAACAGUGUUGGUGGGAAGGUUCAGGCUCUACUGCCACACAUCAACAUCCACCUCUGACAUCGUGAGCCAAUCUAAUAACAUAGGAGGCAUUACUUUUGGAGCAGUCCUGUAGGAAAUAUAGUUUCAGUUGUUCUUGCGCAGGUAGUUCUUACAUGCUUAAGUUAGGAAUGUUUAAGUUUGGUCUUUGAAUACCAUAUGUUUGUCUCUGAGAGAAACUAAAGCUUUGCAGAUCACAGCUGAAGACAGCCUCAGAAGAAAUGAGUGCUGAAUUGACUUUUACAACUUAUUCUUUCUCAGUGGAACUUGUUUAAGCAUGCUGGGCCUUCAUGAAAACCCUCUGCAACUCCUUAAAAAGAAUGUGAAGGUCUCACUUGCUUGUCAUCGUUUCUCAGUAAUAGUGCAUAUAUAAGAUACUCUGCUAGAAACCUGAGACCACUUAGUAAGCAGCCUUAGGCUGCUUGAACCUGAAGAUCCAAACUGAAGGCAAGACCUCUUAGAUGUUGUGGUUCCUCAAAGGCUUUCACUUGAGUCCAUCCUUCUAAAACAUACUCUGUGGACAAAGAAUCCUAAAUGCUACUUAAAGGUGAAGUUAAAGAUCUACAUGGAUUACACUCCCAAUGCAAGGGAAAGGAUUAACUUUUCUUUCAACUCCUGCUGCUUAAUGUUGAUUUAAUAUAUUGUCUUGACUUCUAAUAAGGUUAUUGAAAGAUAAAAGCAUAUAAGGAGCUGUGCCACAGAUGCGACUGUCAGAACUUCAUAUGCAAAAUAAAAAGAGACAUUAUAAUAAAAAGAAAAUUGAACGUUGCUUGUAUAAAAUCUGGCUUUGUUUUGAUGCAUAAAGCAGCAAACACUGUUCCACACUGAGGUUUUCAAGAAUGUCUUAAGUAUACAAUGCUUCUGAUGCCACCCCAGUUGCC
Gallus gallus (chicken) is the source of this 1021-nucleotide long non-coding RNA. NCBI's taxonomy places the organism in Eukaryota, Metazoa, Chordata, Aves, Galliformes, Phasianidae. The record is from Ensembl.